GUCGCUGUAGGCAAAUGGUUAAGCCGCCAGCUUAUGCUGGAGAUGCGGGUCCGAUUCCCGUCAGUGACA
Molecule: transfer RNA, 69 nt
Filed under: Levilactobacillus brevis
Lineage: Bacteria; Bacillati; Bacillota; Bacilli; Lactobacillales; Lactobacillaceae
Description: tRNA-OTHER
Rfam family: tRNA
About the family: Transfer RNA (tRNA) molecules are approximately 80 nucleotides in length. Their secondary structure includes four short double-helical elements and three loops (D, anti-codon, and T loops).
Source: RNAcentral